GGCGAGUGAAGCGGGAAGAGCUCAAAUUUGAAAUCUGGUGGCCUCAGGUCAUCCGAGUUGUAAUCUAUAGAAGUGUUUUCCGUGCUGGCCCAUGUACAAGUCCCUUGGAACAGGGCGUCAUAGAGGGUGAGAAUCCCGUCCUUGACAUGGACUACCAGUGCUCUGUGAUACACUUUCAACGAGUCGAGUUGUUUGGGAAUGCAGCUCAAAAUGGGUGGUAAAUUCCAUCUAAAGCUAAAUAUUGGCGAGAGACCGAUAGCGAACAAGUACCGUGAGGGAAAGAUGAAAAGCACUUUGGAAAGAGAGUUAAACAGUAUGUGAAAUUGUUAAAAGGGAAACGAUUGAAGUCAGUCGUGCUCUUUGGAUUCAGCCGGUUCUGCCGGUGUACUUCCAUUGAGUGGGGUCAACAUCAGUUUUGAUCGCUGGAAAAAGGCUGGAGGAAUGUAGCACUCUCGGGUGAACUUAUAGCCUUCGGUCACAUACAGUGGUUGGGACUGAGGAACGCAGCAUGCCUUUAUGGCCGGGAUUCGUCCACGUACAUGCUUAGGAUGUUGACAUAAUGGCUUUAAACGACCC
RNAcentral lists this ribosomal RNA (576 nucleotides) under Filobasidium sp. RNAcentral describes it as "partial large subunit ribosomal RNA". It matches the Rfam family "Eukaryotic large subunit ribosomal RNA", at positions 88 to 650 of the family's 3401-position model. The record is from RNAcentral. Lineage: Eukaryota; Fungi; Basidiomycota; Tremellomycetes; Filobasidiales; Filobasidiaceae.